This 352-nucleotide unclassified non-coding RNA is filed under the name soil metagenome. RNAcentral's name for it is "partial contains 5.8S ribosomal RNA, internal transcribed spacer 2, and large subunit ribosomal RNA". The stretch from base 1 to 121 matches the Rfam family "5.8S ribosomal RNA", at positions 35 to 154 of the family's 154-position model. The record is from RNAcentral.
GAUGAAGAACGUAGCGAAUUGCGAUAUGUAAUGUGAAUUGCAGAUUUUCAGUGAAUCAUCGAAUCUUUGAACGCACAUGGCGCCUUCCAGUAUCCUGGGAGGCAUGCCUGUCCGAGCGUCGUUUCAACCCUCGAGCCCCCGUGGCCCGGCGUUGGGGAUCUGCCACGGCAGGCCCCUAAAACCAGUGGCGGACCCGAAGGCCCUCUCCUUUGCGCAGUAGCAUCAGCCUCGCAUUGGGAUCCCUCGGCGUCCUGCCUCUAAACCCCCCACAAGUCCGCUCCGGCGGCACCAAGGUUGACCUCGGAUCAGGUAGGAAUACCCGCUGAACUUAAGCAUAUCAAUAAGCGGAGGA